Durio zibethinus is the source of this 1308-nucleotide long non-coding RNA. RefSeq lists it as uncharacterized. The record is from RefSeq and is a predicted model, not a curated record. Lineage: Eukaryota; Viridiplantae; Streptophyta; Magnoliopsida; Malvales; Malvaceae.
CACCGCGGCUCGAUUUCACACAAGAAAAUGACUCAUCUUGAAGCUCAAAUGGCGCGAAGCUUGAUUGGAAUCGAAGAUCGGGUUGAGCGACUGGGUCGGAUCGCCCAAUGUUUGACACGCGGAUCCUUGAAAUGGGUUAAAAGGAACCCAGUUUCGUUGGCUAAAACGACACCAUUUUAUUGGUCCUAUACAAGCCUGCUCUUAAGCUUUUCUCUUCAUUUUACCGUUUCUUCCUUUCUCUUUACAACUUUCAUUCUAUCUUUCUAUUUCUAGGGACAAAAGAACCUAGUCGAAAACUUUAAAGGUUUCCAGAUUCUUGCGUCGGUGUCGUCGUUCUCCGCCACCGUGCAACGAUUGAUCAAGCCAAAAUUUUUUCCAUCGUUACUUCUUGCUCUCAUCGUCUCGAAUAUGAGCUUAUUUUUUUGUAAAUCGUUUCCUAAAGCUCCACGUCUUCACCUUUCGAAUUUUUCAGAAGUUAUGUCGAUCGUUGCCUGUCAUCCUUGCCACCAGGGGCAACUGACUGACGAUGGUCCGAUAAAACCCCAACGGUGAUGAGUUGUUGGUCGAUGGGUGGGGAUGGUGUUGAAGGAUAGCUCAACACGGAAUCAAUUAACUGGGAGGUGAGCUUCGUGAAUUUUUAUGUUCUGUGGUCUGCUUGUGAUUACAUUAUGGGAAUCACUUUACAGGGUGUUGGGUUUUGGCUGACAAUGGCAUAAGGCUUUUGAGUCUGUGAUUUUGAUGAAGGCGAAGUCAAGCAUUUGGCUUGACAAAUUGGCAUUGACGCUGCCAGAUUCAGAUUUUUCUGUUUGUUGAUGGAAUUGCUUCUGUUUAUUGAGUGAUUUGUGGUAGUUGGAAUAGGAAUUGAAAUUAUAGUUUUUUUGGUUUCCUGUUACUCGAAUGGUGUAGCUCUCCUGAAUGGCUUCUUCCUGCCUGAAUGUUGCUACGUAAUUGGAUGCUAGGUUUUAUCUCUGUGUUUAUGCUACUGACAAUAGUGGUUGUUGAGGGUAAGUUUAAGACGAGUAUGGCCUUGACUGGUGAUGGAGACAAAAUUGAAUUUCAAGGCUAGGCUAUUGAUGAUGUGGAUUGCUAAUGGUGAGAAGGAUGAACAGUGUGAAAGAUGGUGGCAAAAUUGGCUUCGUGGAAACUGGUAGUGCCGUGUAUUUCAAUUUUUCCGUUUAUUUCUAUUGAUUCUUCUGUUAAUUUAUAGGAUUAAACUUAAGAGAAUUUCAAAUCAAUCAUGAUUCUAUUUGCAUUAUCAAAGAGAAAUAAGAUUUUAUCUUCUGCAAGAUAAAUCUCACUCAAACUCUA